UGGGGAAUAUUGGACAAUGGGCGAAAGCCUGAUCCAGCCAUGCCGCGUGAGUGAUGAAGGCCCUAGGGUUGUAAAGCUCUUUUGUGCGGGAAGAUAAUGACGGUACCGCAAGAAUAAGCCCCGGCUAACUUCGUGCCAGCAGCCGCGGUAAUACGAAGGGGGCUAGCGUUGCUCGGAAUCACUGGGCGUAAAGGGUGCGUAGGCGGGUCUUUAAGUCAGGGGUGAAAUCCUGGAGCUCAACUCCAGAACUGCCUUUGAUACUGAAGAUCUUGAGUUCGGGAGGGGUGAGUGGAACUGCGGGUGUAGAGGUGAAAUUCGUAGAUAUUCGCAAGAACACCAGUGGCGAAGGCGGCUCACUGGCCCGAUACUGACGCUGAGGCACGAAAGCGUGGGGAGCAAACAGG
This 404-nucleotide ribosomal RNA is filed under the name Actinomycetes bacterium. Its description in RNAcentral is "Actinobacteria bacterium partial 16S ribosomal RNA". It matches the Rfam family "Bacterial small subunit ribosomal RNA", at positions 355 to 776 of the family's 1533-position model. The record is from RNAcentral. Lineage: Bacteria; Bacillati; Actinomycetota; Actinomycetes.